This is a long non-coding RNA of Miniopterus natalensis, 444 nucleotides long. RefSeq lists it as uncharacterized. The record is from RefSeq and is a predicted model, not a curated record. NCBI's taxonomy places the organism in Eukaryota, Metazoa, Chordata, Mammalia, Chiroptera, Miniopteridae.
CUGCGCUGCAGCAGAGGUCUAACCUCAAGAGAACUUUUUCUCUGACAGGCUGCAGGGUUCACGUCGGGGAGUUCUGCCACCCCGAGAGAGUGGCACGGCUCGGAAAGCCUCCCUGGGAACAGACGGGAACGUCUCAUAGGCACAGUGACUUCUGCAGUCACUCUCUGUCGCAUGGAGACAGUGUGUGGGUCCCCACUCGUCGAGUGAUUGAAGUUUGAUUCUCUAAGGACCAGGAUGGGGCUCUGAGUCCUGGCCAUCUGGACUUCCCUUGGCCCCAGGGGCAAGCCAACAGGCCCUUGUCUUCAAAAGUGUGUGCUCAGGGAGGGCACGGAGGAUUGUCUGGAAAAGGUUAGUUGUUGCCAUUAGGGAACCUCGUGCAGCCAAGACUACAGUGCAAUGUGAAGCAGAAAUAAACCCUGGGCUCUCCGCACGUUUGCCAAGCAG